RNAcentral lists this ribosomal RNA (425 nucleotides) under uncultured bacterium. RNAcentral's name for it is "partial 16S ribosomal RNA". It matches the Rfam family "Bacterial small subunit ribosomal RNA", at positions 354 to 796 of the family's 1533-position model. The record is from RNAcentral.
GUGGGGAAUCUUGCGCAAUGGGCGAAAGCCUGACGCAGCCAUGCCGCGUGAAUGAUGAAGGUCUUAGGAUUGUAAAAUUCUUUCACCGGGGACGAUAAUGACGGUACCCGGAGAAGAAGCCCCGGCUAACUUCGUGCCAGCAGCCGCGGUAAUACGACGGGGGCUAGCGUUGCUCGGAAUUACUGGGCGUAAAGGGCGCGUAGGCGGACAGUUUAGUCAGAGGUGAAAGCCCAGGGCUAAACCUUGGAAUUGCCUUUGAUACUGGCUGUCUUGAGUGCGGGAGAGGUGAGUGGAACUCCGAGUGUAGAGGUGAAAUUCGUAGAUAUUCGGAAGAACACCAGUGGCGAAGGCGACUCACUGGCCCGUUACUGACGCUGAGGCGCGAAAGCGUGGGGAGCAAACAGGAUUAGAAACCCUGGUAGUCC